RNAcentral lists this ribosomal RNA (371 nucleotides) under uncultured bacterium. Its description in RNAcentral is "bacterial SSU rRNA". It matches the Rfam family "Bacterial small subunit ribosomal RNA", at positions 527 to 896 of the family's 1533-position model. The record is from RNAcentral.
GUAGGGUGCGAGCGUUGCCCGGAUUUAUUGGGCGUAAAGGGCGCGCAGGCGGUACGGCACGUCCGUUGUGAAAUCGCUCGGCUCAACUGGGCGGGGUCAGCGGAUACGGCCGCACUUGAGCAAGCUAGGGGGCAAUGGAAUUCCCGGUGUAGUGGUGGAAUGCGUAGAUAUCGGGAGGAACACCAGUGGCGAAGGCGGUUGCCUGGAGCUUUGCUGACGCUGAGGCGCGAAAGCGUGGGGAGCGAUCCGGACUAGAUACCCGGGUAGUCCACGCCGUAAACGAUGUCGACUAGGUGUCGGGGGUAUCGACCCCCUCGGCGCCGCAGCUAACGCAUUAAGUCGACCGCCUGGGGACUACGGCCGCAAGGCUA